Molecule: long non-coding RNA, 766 nt
Organism: Girardinichthys multiradiatus
Lineage: Eukaryota; Metazoa; Chordata; Actinopteri; Cyprinodontiformes; Goodeidae
Exons: 3
Source: RefSeq, a predicted model, not a curated record
AAUUGCUAAUACCUUGCUGUUUUUUAGAGCUCUUGUGAAGAAACAGGGCCUGAAUGUGUCAAGGUGGGAGUGCAACACACUUCCACAUCCCCUACAACCUGACUCCAGCUCUUGCGGUGUGUUUGCCAUAAACGUAUUAAAAAUGUACUCCUAUAUUCACUUGAGAUACAUGUUGGGCUAUAUGUGUUUUGUGUUUGUACUUCAGUUUGAAGAGAAAAUACUUGAUGGACAACAUCCUGUUUUUCCUGCCGGACGUAAGGAUGUGGAAAUGCUACGUUGGCAGAUUGCAGUCACUGUGCUGGAAGCAUCAGAUGACUUGACAGAUAUCUGCUGCAUCUGUGGACAGAAAGACGAUCCCAAAGAGAAGAACAGCAUCAUUUGGAUAUCCUGUGAUGUGUGCUUGAGGUGGUUUCACCAUGUUUGCUGUGGAUGUCCAAACACAUCAGCAGCUUUUAUUUGUAAGGCCUGUUGAGGGAAGAUGACUUGUUGAAGUUUUUCACAACUCUGCAAUUUGUUCAGUGUUUAUUUACAGGUGGAAUUACACCAAUUGUUGUUAUACUAUUAUUUAUUUUAGAUUUUAAAAAUAAGCACAUUGUAUUUAUGUUGAAUACUUAUCUUAAUUGAAUGACCUAUGUUUAAACAACAUGUUCUUGAAAGUUUGACAGUAUCUUUUAAUUUUUAAGCCUAAAAACGAUUUUCCCUGUGGUGUUUUGUAAUGAGGUAUCUGUAAAUUUGUCUAGUUUUAAUUUUUGUCCAGCCAAUAUGU